UAGAGUUUGAUCCUGGCUCAGAUUGAACGCUGGCGGAAUGCUUUACACAUGCAAGUCGAACGGCAGCACGGGGGCAACCCUGGUGGCGAGUGGCGAACGGGUGAGUAAUACAUCGGAACGUGCCCAUGUCGUGGGGGAUAACGUAGCGAAAGCUACGCUAAUACCGCAUACGAUCUAAGGAUGAAAGCGGGGGACCGUAAGGCCUCGCGCGAUUGGAGCGGCCGAUGGCAGAUUAGGUAGUUGGUGGGGUAAAGGCUCACCAAGCCUGCGAUCUGUAGCUGGUCUGAGAGGACGACCAGCCACACUGGGACUGAGACACGGCCCAGACUCCUACGGGAGGCAGCAGUGGGGAAUUUUGGACAAUGGGCGCAAGCCUGAUCCAGCCAUUCCGCGUGCAGGAUGAAGGCCUUCGGGUUGUAAACUGCUUUUGUACGGAACGAAACGACCUUCUCUAAUACAGGGGGUUAAUGACGGUACCGUAAGAAUAAGCACCGGCUAACUACGUGCCAGCCGCCGCGGUAAUAC
This 525-nucleotide ribosomal RNA is filed under the name uncultured Ramlibacter sp. Its description in RNAcentral is "bacterial SSU rRNA". It matches the Rfam family "Bacterial small subunit ribosomal RNA", at positions 1 to 526 of the family's 1533-position model. The record is from RNAcentral. Lineage: Bacteria; Pseudomonadati; Pseudomonadota; Betaproteobacteria; Burkholderiales; Comamonadaceae.